RNAcentral lists this microRNA precursor (111 nucleotides) under Setaria italica (foxtail millet). Its description in RNAcentral is "MIR394 microRNA precursor family". It matches the Rfam family "MIR394 microRNA precursor family". Lineage: Eukaryota; Viridiplantae; Streptophyta; Magnoliopsida; Poales; Poaceae. RNAcentral also lists the same sequence under 1 other name. The record is from Rfam by way of RNAcentral.
CUUACUGAGAGUUCCUUGGCAUUCUGUCCACCUCCUUGCUGAUCUUGCAGAAAGUCUCUCAAAUCUGUUGUUUUUUUGGAGGUGGGCAUACUGCCAAUGGAGCUGUGUAGG